AUCCAGGAAAGUAGAGGUAGGGAGUUCCCUCUUGUUGGAAGGGGUCUGGGAAAGGUAGACUGAAGAAAACUACAGGGAUGAGCCUGUGGUGAGCCCUGGAAAAGAAGGUGAGGUACAGAGAGGCAGUCCUCAGGGGUCAGCAACCCAGCAUAGAGAAGUAAUUGGGAGGACCUAGGGAGAAGCCAGAGGCGAAAAUUGGAGACAAGGCUGUGUUAAGCACAAGCUGCAGGAAGGUGUCCCAGGGAAACCACAGUAUAUAUGAAGGAACAGACCUAGCUGCUUAACACAUGGUCCCUGGGUGAGAACUCGGAGCAAAGGAUGGGCCUGGUUUCCCCUUCCAGCCCUGAAGAAGGGAUGUACAAGCUUGAUGUAAAGACAACUGAGCCCAUGGUGUGACUGAAAACUGAGCCUAGAGGAUGGGCCAAGGAAUAGCCCAAGAGAGUGCAGAAGGAUCUUUUGUGCUGCGGUUUUUAUUUUUAACUUGUACUUUAUAUAGCCUAAAAGGGGUCUGGACUAGAUGUGACUUAGCUGAAAGGCUAAGCCAUGGGCAAAAAAAGGCCUUUGCAGGGCCAAAGAAGCAAGGGCCAGCAAGUGCUAGAAAGAACUUCUGCAAGCCAUGCUGCAACACCAGAGGGUUCUGCAGUGGUAGGUGCAACAUCUUGCAAUGACUCGAGACUCCAGGUUUUCAUCUAAAAAAGUUUCCAGUAUUAGGCUCUGGAAAGAGGCUACUGCGGACUGCUGUUUUCUCCUCCCAAGUCCGUUUCCACCAAGCUCUAGGUUGCAUCCUCUUUGUCAGCUGCCACAACACUUCAGAGAAGGUGCUGUAGACAAGACAUCUCUUCUGAAUUCCCUCAGUAACUGGCAAAGUGAGCCUUGAGGCCCCAUAGCACCAGUACGUGUCAAGAAAGCAGAUAAGCACUUUGAACAAGUAAUCAGAUUACUCAUCUGUGAGUGGGUGUCAACCCCACGCAGGUGAACAAAGGGUUAACAAGUGUCUGAGAGAUGAGUCCUAUCUUGGUAUACCUGGAGGGUGUGUUGGGCAUGAUAUCAGACCUAGCUGGGGAGGAGCUGGGCCUUUUUCAUAAAAGAAGGAAAUGGAAAGCUAAAUGGGAGGCCCAGGACAGAGAAGCCCAGGAGAGAGGAGGUAGGAAGUUCCCUCUCUCUGGGAAGGACCAAGGAAAGGCAGACUGAAGAAGGCCACGGACAUCCUGAAUCUCUGUGGUGGAUAUUGAAAAGGGAGCAAGGCGCAGAGAGGCAGUCCUGAGGGGUUGGUGUUCGAGCAAAGAAAGAAGAAGCUAGGGAGAAGCCAGAAGCCUGGGAAUCGGAGGAGAGGCUGCUAUUUGCACAGUUGUGUAGGGAAGCAGGAAAGGUGCUCAGAGGUAGGAAGUGGCCCAGGAAAUAGCAACAUGUCUGAAGGAGCAGAGCUAGCUGCUCAAUACAGGGUCCCUGGGCCAGAGCCUGGAGCAGAGGGUGCGCCUGGGUUCCCCUACCAGCCCUGAGGAAGGGAUGAACAAGCCUGAUGUGGGGACUAUUAAGCCGAGGGUGGGGUGGAAGACUGAGCCUAAAGGGCAGGCCGAGUACUAGCUCAUGAAAGGGCAGAAGAAGCUCUUGUGUGGGGAAGAUUUUUGGUCCUUUAGUUGUACUACUUUUACUCCAGAAGGGGUGGAACUAAAACAUGACGUGGCCAGAGAGCUGAGCCACGCAAAGAGAGACUACCACAGGACCAGAGUGACUGUUGGGAGGAGGUGCUAGAGCAGAAAGAGCCACUAUGCUCAGCUAUGAGGGGGGAGUGCCAGCAGAGUUCACUCUUCAACCUUAUCCAAAGUGAUACACAUAUAAUGGGUCAGAGUCAUCCCUGGUUUUACCUCCGCUCCUGCAGGAUUCCUAGGGGUGGCUAGGCCAGCGGGGUUGCAGAAGCUGUGAUGGUGGAAUGCAGCUACAACCUCCCCUCUGCAAAGCAAGAAAAAUGGAAAGCCAGAGAAGGGGUGUAGACCAGAAAAGAUAGGUAGAUAGGAUUUAUUUUCUAUCUAUGGCAGUCAUUAUUUUGUGGAUUCUUCUGACUGGAUUUCAUACUUAUAAAAAAUGUUCUCCUCAAUGGGGAGGAAACCAUUCAUAUUUUUCUGUGUACUGAAGUCAGUCUUAAAUGCUGGGUCAGAUCUCCAGCUGGUGUAACCUCCAUAGCCCUAUUGAAAUCAGUGACGAGGAACUGAUUUGUACCAGCUGAGAAACUGCAUUGAGUGAAAUGAAGCUAUGGUGAUUAACACCAGCUGAGAUUCUGACCUACUCUCAUUAGGAUUUUGCUUGUAUUGGUCAGAUCAGAUUCGCUAAUCUAUACUCUGUUGGUAUUUCUUCUAAUGGCUGAAUAUUGCCCUUUAUCACCAGUGGCAGUUCAGCAUGUGAAUUCAGAGUAGUAUAUUGCCUUUGGAUUUGAAUUAUGUUUAUUUCCCACUAGUCCAUCAACACCUCCUCUCACUAAUGAGCUAUUACAAAUCUGUAUUUAGAAGAUCACUAAUCUUUCAAGAUGCUAAUGUGUAACUCAUCUAGUUGUAAUGCCCCAGUGACAAAAGAGGGAAUUUCACAGUAGAGAACAUUUUUAAAAAGAAGAAAUGUAUGUGCAAAGAGAAAUAUGGUUGGUGAGGAUAUCUGGGUUCUCUUGUUGUUUCAGGUAUUUAUUUUGGAAUAAAAACCUGCACCCAAACCUAACUUUUCCUAGUGACGUCUGUCUGUCAACAUGGACAUGAUUGUGAUCUUAAAAAUCAGCAUCACAGUGUGGUCAAACAGGAGGAGAGAAGCAAAUAGUAUAGUUGUGAACCCAUUGCUACACCCCUUGUGGUAGCAGAUUACUUCUCGUGGCUGGCCAAUGUAAUUGA
Long non-coding RNA from Chelonia mydas (Green sea turtle), 2870 nucleotides. RefSeq lists it as uncharacterized. The record is from RefSeq and is a predicted model, not a curated record. The transcript has 3 exons. NCBI's taxonomy places the organism in Eukaryota, Metazoa, Chordata, Testudines, Cheloniidae.